RNAcentral lists this ribosomal RNA (1100 nucleotides) under Clavascidium lacinulatum var. atrans. RNAcentral describes it as "LSU rRNA". It matches the Rfam family "Eukaryotic large subunit ribosomal RNA", at positions 293 to 1399 of the family's 3401-position model. Lineage: Eukaryota; Fungi; Ascomycota; Eurotiomycetes; Verrucariales; Verrucariaceae. The record is from RNAcentral.
CGGGUGGUAAAUUCCAUCUAAGGCUAAAUAUGGGCCAGAGACCGAUAGCGCACAAGUAGAGUGAUCGAAAGAUGAAAAGCACUUUGAAAAGAGAGUUAAACAGUAUGUGAAAUUGUUGAAAGGGAAGCGCUGGCGACCAGAACCUGCGGGCGGCGGUUCCCCCGGUCCCCGUCGACCGGGCUCCUCCGUCGCCCCCAGGCCAACAUCGGUUCGGGUGGCCGGUGAAAGGCCCCGGGAACGUAUCUGCCUCCGGGUCGACUUACAGCCCGGGGUGCCAUACGGCCCACCCGGACCGAGGAACGCGCUCCGGCGAGGAUGUUGGCGUAAUGGUGGUCAGCGGCCCGUCUUGAAACACGGACCAAGGAGUCUAACAUCCAUGCGAGUGUUUGGGUGUCAAACCCCCGGCGCGGAAUGAAGGUGAACGGAGGUGAGAGCCCCGGCCGGCGACGGCGGGGGCGCAUCAUCGACCGAUCCGGAUGUCUUCGGAUGGAUUUGAGUAAGAGCAUGGCUGUUGGGACCCGAAAGAUGGUGAACUAUGCCCGGAUAGGGUGAAGCCAGAGGAAACUCUGGUGGAGGCUCGCAGCGGUUCUGACGUGCAAAUCGAUCGUCGAAUCUGGGUAUAGGGGCGAAAGACCAAUCGAACCGUCUGGUAGCUGGUUCCUGCCGAAGUUUCCCUCAGGAUAGCAGUAACGGAAGCAGUUUUAUGAGGUAAAGCGAAUGAUUAGAGGCCUUGGGGUUGAAACAACCUUAACCUAUUCUCAAACUUUAAAUAUGUAAGAAGUCCUUGUUGCCCCGGUGAACGUGGACCUUCGAAUGCGUCGUUACUAGUGGGCCAUUUUUGGUAAGCAGAACUGGCGAUGCGGGAUGAACCGAACGCGGGGUUAAGGUGCCGGAAUGCACGCUCAUCAGACACCACAAAAGGUGUCAAUGCAUCCAGACAGCCGGACGGUGGCCAUGGAAGUCGGAAUCCGCUUAGGAGUGUGUAACAACUCACCGGCCGAAUGCAUUGGCCCUGAAAAUGGAUGGCGCUUAAGCGUGCUACCUAUACCCCGCCGUCGGGGUUGAAAUGAGGCCCCGACGAGUAGGCAGGCGUGGGGGUC